UACAGAGGUCUCAAGCGUUGUUCGGAAUCACUGGGCGUAAAGGGUGCGUAGGUGGCGUGGUAAGUCAGAUGUGAAAGCCCGGAGCUCAACUUCGGAAUUGCAUCCGAUACUACCAUGCUUGAGUACUGGAGAGGUGACUAGAAUUCUAGGUGUAGCAGUGAAAUGCGUAGAUAUCUAGAGGAAUACCAAAGGCGUAGGCAGGUCACUGGACAGUUACUGACACUGAGGCACGAAGGCCAGGGGAGCGAACGGG
This 253-nucleotide ribosomal RNA is filed under the name uncultured bacterium. RNAcentral's name for it is "partial 16S ribosomal RNA". It matches the Rfam family "Bacterial small subunit ribosomal RNA", at positions 524 to 776 of the family's 1533-position model. The record is from RNAcentral.